RNAcentral lists this long non-coding RNA (262 nucleotides) under Elaeis guineensis (African oil palm). RNAcentral describes it as "long non-coding RNA (EGUI_LNC074704)". The record is from RNAcentral. Lineage: Eukaryota; Viridiplantae; Streptophyta; Magnoliopsida; Arecales; Arecaceae.
UUAUUAUGUUUCUGUAGCUAGUCGAAAUUUAAUUUCUAUGUCUGUGCUAGCACGGGAAGGUUUUGAAAUUUAUUUUAAUAAAGAUAUUUAUUUUAUUUAUUUAUGAAAUAAAUUGGUUGCAUGAGAUCUUUUAACUGAUAGUCUUUAUCACUUGCAUGUUGAUGGAAUGUGAACCUAAACAAGCAAAUAGCGAGUGCCAUAGGUCAAAAGAGAUCUAGAGAUGAGAUUAAACAAAAGCCAUUGUGAUACCAUAGACUAGGCC